Molecule: ribosomal RNA, 1443 nt
Filed under: Massilia sp. Sco-D26
Lineage: Bacteria; Pseudomonadati; Pseudomonadota; Betaproteobacteria; Burkholderiales; Oxalobacteraceae
Description: bacterial SSU rRNA
Rfam family: Bacterial small subunit ribosomal RNA
Source: RNAcentral
GGCUCAGAUUGAACGCUGGCGGCAUGCUUUACACAUGCAAGUCGAACGGCAGCGCGGGGCAACCUGGCGGCGAGUGGCGAACGGGUGAGUAAUACAUCGGAACGUACCCAGAAGUGGGGGAUAACGUAGCGAAAGUUACGCUAAUACCGCAUACGUUCUACGGAAGAAAGUGGGGGAUCGCAAGACCUCAUGCUUUUGGAGCGGCCGAUGUCUGAUUAGCUAGUUGGUAGGGUAAAGGCCUACCAAGGCGACGAUCAGUAGCUGGUCUGAGAGGACGACCAGCCACACUGGGACUGAGACACGGCCCAGACUCCUACGGGAGGCAGCAGUGGGGAAUUUUGGACAAUGGGCGCAAGCCUGAUCCAGCAAUGCCGCGUGAGUGAAGAAGGCCUUCGGGUUGUAAAGCUCUUUUGUCAGGGAAGAAACGGCCUGGGUUAAUACCCCGGGCUAAUGACGGUACCUGAAGAAUAAGCACCGGCUAACUACGUGCCAGCAGCCGCGGUAAUACGUAGGGUGCAAGCGUUAAUCGGAAUUACUGGGCGUAAAGCGUGCGCAGGCGGUUUUGUAAGUCUGACGUGAAAUCCCCGGGCUCAACCUGGGAAUUGCGUUGGAGACUGCAAGGCUGGAGUCUGGCAGAGGGGGGUAGAAUUCCACGUGUAGCAGUGAAAUGCGUAGAGAUGUGGAGGAACACCGAUGGCGAAGGCAGCCCCCUGGGUCAAGACUGACGCUCAUGCACGAAAGCGUGGGGAGCAAACAGGAUUAGAUACCUGGUAGUCCACGCCCUAAACGAUGUCUACUAGUUGUCGGGUCUUAAUUGACUUGGUAACGCAGCUAACGCGUGAAGUAGACCGCCUGGGGAGUACGGUCGCAAGAUUAAAACUCAAAGGAAUUGACGGGGACCCGCACAAGCGGUGGAUGAUGUGGAUUAAUUCGAUGCAACGCGAAAAACCUUACCUACCCUUGACAUGUCAGGAACCCCCGAGAGAUCGGGGGGUGCCCGAAAGGGAGCCUGAACACAGGUGCUGCAUGGCUGUCGUCAGCUCGUGUCGUGAGAUGUUGGGUUAAGUCCCGCAACGAGCGCAACCCUUGUCAUUAGUUGCUACGAAAGGGCACUCUAAUGAGACUGCCGGUGACAAACCGGAGGAAGGUGGGGAUGACGUCAAGUCCUCAUGGCCCUUAUGGGUAGGGCUUCACACGUCAUACAAUGGUACAUACAGAGGGCCGCCAACCCGCGAGGGGGAGCUAAUCCCAGAAAGUGUAUCGUAGUCCGGAUCGCAGUCUGCAACUCGACUGCGUGAAGUUGGAAUCGCUAGUAAUCGCGGAUCAGCAUGCCGCGGUGAAUACGUUCCCGGGUCUUGUACACACCGCCCGUCACACCAUGGGAGCGGGUUUUACCAGAAGUAGGUAGCUUAACCGCAAGGAGGGCGCUUACCACGGUAGGAU